UGUCAUGAUGUCCACGAUUUCCCUGUUGAAUGCCAGCUAGCUUGUGUCCUCCCGGGAAGGGUGCGGCCAGGGCCGCUGACGGUUUGCUGUCAUGGAGUGUGCCUUUGUGUCGGCUGCAGACUGUGUUGCUAUGUUCUGGUUGACACAUUAGUCAGUGGGGCUUGGGCCCCCAUUUCACUAGCAGACGUGAAGAAUACACGCCCUUCCCCAUGUGGGUUCAGUGGUGGGCGUGGGGCCGGCCAACGGUGGCCGGCCCCCCUGGUCAGUGGGGCUUGGGCCCACAGUUUCACUAGCAGACGUGAAGAAUACACGCCCUUCCCCAUGUGGGUUCUGUGGUGGGCGUGGGGCCGGCCAACGGUGGCCGCCCCCCCUGGUCAGUGGGGCUUGGGCCCCCAUUUCACUAGCAGACGUGAAGAAUACACGCCCUUCCCCAUGUGGGUUCAGUGGUGGGCGUGGGGCCGGCCAACGGUGGCCGGCCCCCCUGGGCAGUAUUUCAAGGUAUGGGCCUUGCCGGCUGUGGCUUUUUCUUUUCUUGCCUCCAGUAAGUUACAACACAAUCACACAAUAAACACAAUCACAACACCAAAAAAAGGCCAAAACCCACAACAGGCAAUGUGCCAUGCUUUCUAUAUUUUGUAAUAUAUAUAUAUAAUACAAAAUAAUAAAUACAGCCAGACUUUUGAGCUGCAAGGAAAUUCAGUGCAAUUCAACCAGACCAAUAAAAGAUUAACCUUCGAAAAAGGCGACCAGGCUUUGAAACAGUGAUACUACUCUGAAUCUGACCAACCAAAGAAUUCCCCUAGAUAGCAAGCACCCAGGCUUUGAACCACCGAGGCUAUUCAUUACAAUUCUACCCCCAUAAAAGGCAAGUACCUAACCUUCCAAGCAGCAAGCCUAUUCCUUUCUAUUCCACCUCACCAAACAAAGAAUUCCCAUAAGAAAAUGGCCAGGCUUUCAGACUACAAAAGCUAUUAUUCACUGUUAUUCCACCUACCUAACAAAAGAAUUCCCAUACACCUCAGCAACGCGUGGCCGGGCACAGUAAACUAUAAAAUUGUGCAAUAAAUCUUAGGAAAGGGCAAACGCUCUGCAAUUUAGCAAACAAGCAGGGUGGAUUGUGUUCUCCCACUGUACCAAAUUUGAUCAGUAUAGCUGAAAAAAUGAGAGCAGGAGAGCCCCCGACCCCCCCCAGGGGCUGUUUUGGGGCGACCGCGCAUGCGCGUCCGCCAUUAACGAAUUAAUUUCGAAAAUAACGAAUUUUCGUUAAUUUCGAAAAAUUUUGGGGACAAAAUUCGUAAAUAGCAACAAAAACGAAAAACUGCCCCCUCUAGUUUUGAAACGAGUUUAGAAUCAAAUUUUUCAUGGAUCGAUCAAGCCUAUUAUCCAGUACUUCUGGCAUGCUUUUGAACAUAUUAGGUGAUUGAGGCCUGAAAAUAGGCCAUGGUCAGCUCCCAUCUUCCAGCAUACACCCCAUUUGUCACAUUUUCAUCAGAAAGUAUUAAAACAAGUCUAGAAGGUGACAUUGCAUUGAAAGUUUGACUAGAUUUCAAUUUGACCAGCUUGAUCAGCAGUUGCUGUUGUUGGUUUAAAAGGAUUUCAUCUUCCUGUCAUGUAGAAAAUCCUGAACUGCUGACCCUUAAAUAAUGAGUAUGGUGAAUGUAAGCAAGAGCAAAGAAUGUAGCUGAAUCACUUGCUAAAUCAACAGACGGAAAAUCAGCAAGAUCACCAGCUGGAGCAGAUUUAGUCGAAAGACAGUUUUCUCUUCUCACGAGAGCUGAUAUCUCCCAACUGCUUCUCUCUCUGACACAAAUGAGAGUUUGUGAAGCAAACUAAAGACUAUACUGACAUGCCAGAACUCAUGUGAUGCUGCUUCUAAAUAGCUUGAGGCAUUUUAAUUUCUCAGCUAUAUCACCACUUCUCAGUUCUUGUCACUAUUUCUCUUCUGUCCUUUCCUUUUGUUUGGCUAUUAGAAACUAUACACUGAGAGCCAAAACUUGUCACUAUUUAUAAAUUGUGGAUACAAGCAGCUAUAUAUUUGAUAUUUCUGAUCUAGGUGAUACAAAAACAUAGUAUUUUCACUUUGUAUUGUCCAUUACAAAAAGUUCAAUAAUUAAAGCAUGCAGACUAAACAAUCAGACACAGGUGAUGGGUAAAUUAGGGACACACAAUUAGGGCAUCACCAACCUUCACUAGUAUCUCCACUUAACUAGAGGAGAAAUUAGUUAAGGCUAAACAUCCUCCAAAUCUUUCUACUGCCAUCCAAGCCUUGAUAAGCUGGUUGGUUCUCCAGUAGUUCUCAAAGUGGUGCUCUGUGAAACAUACUGAGGGGCUCUGCAGUUUCCUCCACCUCCCUCAUCCCCCUCCAUGCUUUUCCCGCUUUUUUCCUCUUUCCUCCUCCUGCCUCUCUCCUGCCUCCCUUAAUAAUAAUAAUAAUAAUAAUAAAUUUAUUCUUAUAUCCCGCUCCAUCUCCCCGAGGGGACUCGGGGUGGCUCACAGCAAUAAUAAAAACAGUGACAAAUUAUCCCUUGCCACCCAAAGCCUUUUCCCCCACAUCCUUUGCUGCCAAAAACCUUUUCCACCUGCCUCCCUUGCUGCCAAAACCUUUUUUCCUCACCUUCCUCACGGAUGCUUUACCUCUCGCCUUCCUUGCUUCCCAAACCAUAUUUCCCUCCCACUGUUCAGGGGGUGCUUUGAUUGUGCUUUGCCUGCAUGGCAGAAGUGGGUUGGACUAGAUGACACUUGGGAUUGCUUUAAUCAC
Molecule: long non-coding RNA, 2758 nt
Filed under: Anolis carolinensis (green anole)
Lineage: Eukaryota; Metazoa; Chordata; Lepidosauria; Squamata; Anolidae
Description: lncRNA (ENSACAG00000043391.1)
Source: RNAcentral